RNAcentral lists this small RNA (584 nucleotides) under Pongo abelii (Sumatran orangutan). Its description in RNAcentral is "processed transcript". Lineage: Eukaryota; Metazoa; Chordata; Mammalia; Primates; Hominidae. The record is from RNAcentral.
GGGCCUAGUAAUAGACUUGACUUGGGAAGUGGUGGCUUUUUCAACCCAUGUUUGCUCACAACCAAUAUCAAGCCAGAUGGUGUAAUGUUUUAUACUUAAGGAAAUAAAGUACCCUUUCCUGUCCCCUAAAGGAAAAGAGUAAAAAUACAGACUUUUCCUAUCAGCCUGGAGAUGCCUUCAGCGUGAUCUGCCCUAACAGUGAUUCUGAGGUACAAAGCCUACUCCAAAGACUGCAGCUUGAAGAUAAAAGAGAGCACUGCGUCCUUUUGAAAAUAAAGGCAGACACAAAGAAGAAAGGAGCUGCCUUACCCCAGCAUAUACCUGCGAGAUGUUCUCUCCAGUUCAUUUUUACCUGGUGUCUUGAAAUCCGAGCAAUUCCUAAAAAGGCAUUUUUGCGAGCCCUUGUGGACUAUACCAGUGACGGUGCUGAAAAGCGCAGGCUACAGGAGCUGUGCAGUAAACAAGGGGCAGCCGAUUAUAGCCGCUUUAUACGAGAUGCCUGUGCCUGCUUGUUGGAUCUCCUCCUCGCUUUCCCUUCUUGCCAGCCACCGCUCAGUCUCCUGCUCGAACAUCUUCCUAAACUU